GCCGGGAUUUUCUCACCGUUAACAUCAAUAAUGCCGCUGGUGGUCGCCUGAACUGACGCCAGCCCCAGGCAGUCCAUGCUGAUCCCUUCGAACGCCGCAUUUUGCCAGGCAUCCUGAAUCAGUUGUUGCAGUAAUGAAACCAUAUUAGCGUGCUGAUCGAUGGUCACAUGGUCCGCUUUAGUGGCAGCAAACAAUAGCUUAUCGAUAACCGGCGAAAACAAACGCCGGAACAGGGUACGCUGCCCGUAGUGAAAACUUUGCAUCAGCUGCGUCAGUGCCAGAC
Molecule: unclassified non-coding RNA, 283 nt
Filed under: uncultured fungus
Lineage: Eukaryota; Fungi
Description: sequence contains ITS1
Source: RNAcentral